UGUUGGGUUUGACGGCUCUCUGCAGGUUCUCGAUCCAUUUGUCCCUCUCGGCCGCCGACCGGCACGCGAAGCAUUUGGUGCCGGACGCCGUCGUCACCUGCGGGCAGCGGCUCAGACCCCGAUUCCACACAAAAUUCACCCAAAAUUCACACAAAACUCACCCAAAACUCACCCAAAAUCACACCCAAAAUUCACCCAGAAUCCCAGCCAAAAUUCACCCAAAAUCACCCAAGAAAAACCCCAAAAUCACACCCAAAACUCCCCAAAAUCACACCCAAAAUUCACCCACAACUCCCCAAAAUUCACCCAAAUCCCACCCAAAAUUUACCCAAAAUUCACCCAAAAUUCACACAAAACUCACACAAAACUCACCCAAAGUUCACCCAAAAUCACACCCAAAAUUCACCCAAAAUUUACCCAAAAUCACACCCAAACCUCCCCAAAAUCACACCCAAAACACUCCAAAAUCACACCCAAAAUUCACCCAAAAUUCACUCAAAAUCACACCCAAACCUCCCAAAAAACACACCCAAAACACUCCAAAAUCACACCCAAAAUUCACCCAAAACUCGUCCAAAAUUCACCCAAAUCCCACCCAAAAUUUACCCAAAAUUCACCCAAAAUUCACACAAAACUCACACCCAAAACUCGUCCAAAAUUCACCCAAAUCCCACCCAAAAUUUACCCAAAAUUCACCCAAAAUUCACACAAAACUCACCCAAAAAUCACCCAAAAUUCACUUAAAAUCACACCCAAAAUUCACCCAAAAUUUACCCAAAAUCACACCCAAAACACUCCAAAUCACACCCAAAAUUUACCAAAAACACCCCAAAUUCACCCAAAUCCCACACAAAGUUCACCCAAAUCCCACCCAAAAUUCACUCAAAAUCACAUCCAAAAUUCACCAAAAUCACACCCAAAAAAACCCCCAAAGUCGCACCCAAAACUCUCCAAAAUCACACCCAAAAUUCAUCCAAAAUCCCAGCCAAAAUUCACCCAAAAUCACACCCAAAAAACUCCCCAAAAAUUCACCAAAAAUUUCCAAAAUUCCCCCAAAAUUCCAAAAAAAUUCCCAAAAAUUCCCCAAAAUUCCCCCAAAAUUCCCCCCCCCAAAUCCCCUAAAAUUCUUCCAAAACUCCUCCAAAAAUUCCCCAAAAUUCCCAAAAAUUCCCAAAAAAUUCCCAAAAAAUCCCCCCAAAGUUCCUAAAAAUUCCCCAAAAAAUCCCUAAAAAUUCCUCACAAAUUCCCCAAAGAUUCCAAAAAAUUCCCCCCAAAAAUCCCAAAAAUUCCCCAAAAAUUCCCCAAAAAAUCCCCCCAAAAUUCCCAAAAAAUUCUUAAAAAUUUCCCCAAAAAUCCCCCAAAAUCCCCAAAAUUUCCCUACAAAAAUCCCCCCAAAAUUCCUAAAAAUCAAAAAAAAUUCAAAAAAAAUCCCAAAAAAUUCCCCAAAAUUCCCCAAAAAUUUCUCAAAAAAUCCCCAUUCCCCAAAAGUUCCCAAAAAAAUCCCCCCAAAAUCCCCUCAAAAUUCAAAAAAAUUCUCAAAAAAAAUCCCAAAAAAUUCCCCAAAAAUUUCAAAAAAAAUCCCCCAAAAAAUCCCCCAAAAUCCC
This 1604-nucleotide long non-coding RNA is filed under the name Cyanistes caeruleus (blue tit). RNAcentral's name for it is "lncRNA (ENSCCEG00000004348.1)". The record is from RNAcentral. Lineage: Eukaryota; Metazoa; Chordata; Aves; Passeriformes; Paridae.